GGAAGUCAGUCGGGUGAUGCGAGUGGGGCACACGGAGACAGACAAACGCUGCAGGAGCCGACUACCAGCGCCGGAAGACGAAGCAGUUAAGUCCAUUUAAAACUGCGGAACUGGCCAGGUUUGAUGGCAAGCUAAGGAACUAGGAACUGAAUCCAUGCACGUUGGGCAGUGAGUCUGCAAGCCACCCGCUACACUGCUCACUUCCCAGGAACCGAUCGUCCUGCUCUGGUCGGGCUGGUAGGAGGCUCUUUGUUGCAGCCAUUUUUUUCCCCUUUGUUGUAUGCCUUCGCGGCUCGUACGCUUGAGCGGCCUGUCGCACACACACACACACACGUGCAUUCCCUUUCCCCACUUUGGACACUGCCCCUUCUGGACACUCAGGCCAUCUCAAGUUAUCGUGUUUGCAGCCCUUUGCGUUGUGGGCAACCUGAGCUUUUGUCGAGCUCAUUAUGUGAACUGACUGAGCUCAUCAAACUGAUUGGGCUCAUUGAACUUUUGGAUUUGAACGUAUUGAACUUAUUAUACUCAUUUGAUUGCCUUGAACUCAUUAAAUGUUAAUUUGAAUUUGAAAUUUAUUUUUCUUUUUUUUUUGUGAGUGGCCAUUCCUUCUGUUUUGUUUGUUAUAUAUUUUUUUUCCUUUCAAUAUAUGGUAUCAUUUUGAGCCGCAAGUUCUGCCUCAGCCUCUUUCUUUCUCCACUCCUAGAGCCGAACCCAGAUCUCCUAAACUAGCCUUGCAGUUGAUGCUGUCUUGCUUUGUGCACCAUAGCACACAUAGUGUUCCAAAAUUAGUGUGCACAUGCUACAAAUGACUAUCCAGAAAUCUCACCAUCACUCUUAUGGGAAACAGGAAAAACAGGUAUCAGAGGAAUAAUCAUUUCAUAUUCAUCACAUAAGAAAUGACAGCAACAGGAACAAGAAACUAGCUUAGAAACAAAAAUCAAACACCUAACACACCAACUAACCAGCAAUCCCUGUGAACAAAAACAAAAUGAAUUAGCUCAACUUAAAACCCAAUUGGAAAGCAUCAUAUACAAGAAAACACAAUUCAUUAUUCAACAACUCAAAUAUGAAAACUUUCAGUACAGUAAUAAAUCAAGUAAAUAUUUGGCUAAUCUAUUACAACACAAAAAAGAAAAAGCAAUAAUCCCAUCUACACUCAAUUCUACAGGUACAGUCACACAUAAUCCACAAGAAAUCAAUAAUAUAUUUCAUAAAUUUUAUAGCAACCUUUACUCCUCAAAUUACAAACCCAGUCAAACAGAAAUAGUAACAUUUUAAGUAAUCUGGACUAGAGGGCUGCAUUGUGAUUGGGUCCCGCUGGGUCCCGUGGGACCCAAUGCAAAUCUUGCGGGAGCAGGCGGUUUGAACUUUGCUGUGGGCGGGAACGGGCAGCUAAAAAAACACUGCGGGAUCGUGAUGUAGCCUAGCGACAGGAUGGAGUCAACAAAUGAUGUGGAAAAGAAGCUCAAACAAGGUCUGAAGGCGCACUGAGCCCUCUACUUCCCAGCGCUCUCAAAGCUGGCGCGUUUCAUCUUCAGUAUCCCCGCAUCCAGUGCACCUUCAGAGCGGGCCUUUAGUGUCUGCGGGCGCAUCUUGGAAGAGAGACGCACGGGAUUGGGACCGCAGUCGGUCAGCAACAUUCUCUUCCUCCACAGCAAUAUUAUGGCCAAGUGAUUCAUCUGUUAAAUUCAUUCGUUUUAUUCAUUAAUUUUGUUUAUUUUAUGUUAUUUAUUAGUGUUAUUUGAGCCACUCACAGCCUACUCUCGUUGCUAUUUGUUAAAUACAUAAAGAAGCAUGAUGAUGCCAGUGUUAUUGAGCAUAGGCUGCCUGAGUUUGAAUGUUUUUUAUUCUUAUUUUUAUUUUUUUCAAACAGAAUACCUGUGACAUCUGGCUAAUAAUUUUUAAAACUGCUGUUUUUCAUGUUGUUUAUCAUAUUGUAUUUUUUGCAAAGCAGUCUAUUUUUAUGUGCCGUGUGAUGGUGCAAAGUUUUUGAUAAAACGAAGUUAUAUUUAAAUUUAUUGUGUAGUGUUGUCUAUCUGCUGAUUGUGUUCUCAUUAAUGUUUCUUAUUCAGGUCUCUCUUAGAAAAGAGCCCUUAACCUCAAUCACUGCGUGAUUAUAUAAAGGUAGAAAAAUAAAUAAAAUACAGAGGAGGAGAAUAGAAUAUGAAACAGCCUUUAUUUCAUGAAAACAACGAAACAGAAGCGCUAUUCCUGACCAGUGCGUCAAAAGACAUGCAGGCCAGGGAAACGAAACAAACAACUCCAUGAAUCUCUUUAUUAAUAGCCUAUAAAAUGGCCUGUUUUCUCCUGCGGGAUGGGAGAAGACACAAAAUCAAUGCAUCUCUAUUAUUGUGCGGGCAUAAAUUCUCAGAGUUUUGUGCAUGUGGGCGGGAGUGGACAAACAUAUUGCAGGAGCAGGCAGGAGUUUAACACACACGUUGCGGGCAGUAAUGGUCAGAAAUUCAGCGGGAGCGGGCAGGAGCAGGGUGAAGGAAACAGUCCUGCGCAGGGCUCUAAUCUGGACCUACCAACAGUACUAUCAGAUUUAGCCGGCUUUUUAGAUUCACCACUCUCUUUCAACAUUACAGAGCGCAAAAUCACAGGGCGGCCUUGAAGCACCAAACUUUCUUCAUUACUUCUUGUCAAAUCAGCUACAAUAUUUACUCAAAUGGAUCCAUAAAGAUAAUUACAGUAUACCAUGGUUACAGAUAGAACAAAAUCAAUGUAAAACUACUUCACUCACAGACCUCCCAUUCCUACCACAAUCAAUCAAGAAACAGGACUACUACAAGAACAUCACAAUCUCCUCAACUCUGACAGCCUGGUGGAAAGCCCACAAAAUCACCAAAUCAUCACUGGCACCAUGUAGGUUCACUCCGAUUUGGCACAAUCCGGACUUCCAGCUGUACAACACUCCUGUUCACUUUCCAUCAUGGUAACAAAAAGGAAUUACUCACCUACACCACUUAUUUGAAAACAAGCAGUGCGUAUCAUUUAAUACACUUAUCCAGAGGUAUGGGGUUGGGAGAGACCAGUUCCUCCAAUACCAACAACUAAAAUCCAUUAUUAAAUCUAAAAUCAACAUAUCCAACAACAUAUUACAGCCUUCCCAAUUAAGUGAGCAAAUCUUUAAAAUAACAAAGCCCAAAAAAAUAAUUUCUAAAAUUUAUAAACAUUUUUCACUGCCAGAAACCUCCAUAACACUCCCAACCACAAAAUGGGAAAAGGACCUGGCUCUAUCUCCCAACUGGAUACAUACUGCUGGAUACAAAUCAAUAAAAACAUCUUUUCCAUGAUUACCAAUACAGAUUUACAGCUAAUACAAUCUAAAACCAUCCACAAAAUACACAUCAUUCAAGGGAAAAUGGGAUUGACUAAUACAGACAUCUGUUCACAAUGCACCUUGGGUCACACAGAUGAUUAUUUUCAUACCAUCUGGUCUUGCCAGCCAGUUCUUUCAUUUUGGACAACAGUUACAGAAAACCUCUUGUGUACCUUGGGCUGCAGAAUCUCAGCAUCCCCAUCGCUCUGCUUCUGAGAGAUUUGACACACAUCACAAUUCCAACUAAACACAAAAACCCAUUAUUGAUUUCUCUAACCUUCUCACUACCUUCACAUGCUUUUACAGACAUACCAUGAUCCCCUCCCCUUUGUUCUUGUUUAUAUCCCCCCCACCCCCUCUCUUCCUCUUUAUCCAGUUUUUUUUUCCUCUCUCUUCCCUCCCCUCUCCCUCUCAUUCUGGCUACACAAACUGUAUAUAUCACAAUAUAUCACAAUAGGCUAAUUAUUGUUGAAACUAAUAUCUUUAACAUUAUUGUUAUUAAUGAUAACUCAGUCCAUAGGGACUUGGGUUGGGAACCGGAGGGUCGCCUGUUCGAGUCCCCAUCCAGACCAAAUAUGGAACGUGGACUGGUGGCUGGAGAGGUGCCAGUUCACCACCUGGUUACUGCCGUGGUGCCCUUGAGCAAGGCACUGAACCCCCCAACCGCUCGGGGUGCCUGACCAAGGCCGUCCCCUCACUCUGACAUCUCUCCACUCUGUGCAUGUAUAGGUCCUGUUUGUGCAUGUGUGUGUGUCUUUCGGACCUGUGUGUAAUUGACAGCAAGAGUGAAAAAAUUGAAUUUCCCCUCAGGAGGAUUAAUAAAGUAUAUAAAAUUUUAAAAAAUUAAAUUAAAAAAAAUAUUAAUGUUAUCACUAUUAUUAUUGUUGUUGCUGUUGUUAUUAUUAUCAUUAUGAUUAUUAUUAUCAUUACUAUUAUCAUUAUUAUUAUUAUCAUUAUUAUUGCCAUUGUUGUGGUUCUUGAUGGUGGUGGCGGUAGCGGUGGAGGCAGUUGUAAGUCUGGGUAAUAUCAUAUUUACAAGGCAGUGGGGGGUGAAGCCAGACAGUGCAGGGCAUGGGGCUGGGGGGCACCUGCCUCUCCCGACUCUUUGCCCUCUGGUGGUGUGGCCGCGGUCUUUGGCGAGGGCAGCGGGAGGUAGCUGGCUUGGGUACCUCCACCCCUACCUCUCAUAUAGUAAAAAUAAAAAAAAUUAAUAUAUUAAAUAAUUAAUUAACGUGGUCACUUCCCACUGGACAGACUCUCUCCAAAAUAGUCUGAGAGUGGUCCAACUAUGGAGUAGACUAAAUUUGGGCCAUCUCCAAAACAAACAAACAAACAAACAAAAAAAGACGAGAGGGGGAGAAGGGGGAAAAGAAGGAAAACAAACAAACAAUAUAGGAGGAAUACCCCUUAGCUGGUCUGGUCCCUGGGCUGUGGCUGUAUUGCUGGGGUGGGGCUGGCUGUUGUAUGAAAAGGUGAUGGUGUCCUCUCCUCCUUGGGCUCUGUGUGUUUGGCUCCACCCCCCAUAACCAUAUUAAUUUAAAUUAAUUAAUAUAAACUCAAAUUGAUAUAAAUUUAUAUAAAUAUCUCAUUAUUUAACCCAUUUUACUGUUAUUAUAAAAUUAUAUUAUUAUAAAAAUUAUGGCUGCCUCUGCCACUGCCGCCGCCACAGUAAUACAAUACAAACAAGACUAAUAUCAUUAUUACUAUAUAUUGUUGUAUUGUUGUUAUUAUCAUUAUCAUUAUUAUAAUUAUUAGCUCUCUUACUUUUUCUUCCCCCCCCCCUCUCUCCCUUUCUCACUUUCAUUCACUCUCCCCCCUUCCCUUUUCCCUAUCGCCCCUAAUCAAUUCAUAUUGCUUAGUUGCUCUUUACGUUUAUUAUCUUUUUCAUUGUAAUAUGAUGUCAUUGUUGUUGUUUGUCAUUAUUUUUGUUUGUUUGUUUAUUUGCUUGAUUUGUCUUUUGUUUUUUUUUUUUUUCUUUCCACUAUGUCUCGUUAACUGUAUCACUAAUAAAAAUAAAUAACUAAAAAAAAAAAGUAGGCGGGCUACAGCAUCUAACCUCAGGGUCAGUGUGGCUCUGGAUGUUAUAUCGCGACAGGACAUUCAUUCAUGGGGCUGUACCCAUAGAGUCUAGUAGAGGGUGGAACCUGUGUGUGAUGAAAUGAAGGACUCUGAAUGAAUUUGAACCAGGAACCCUCUUGCUGUGAAGCCACAAUGAUAACCACUGCGCCACCAUGCUGCCCCAGUUGCCAAAUAUUUUAGUGUUGUGAUAGCUUUCAUUUCUGGUGUUGAGCGGGAGAUGUGAGCGCAUCUCUAAUGAGAAUGACUACAAACACUAGCAGCUAGUGGACAAACACUUUGAUCUGACUUGGCAGCUCAACUGAGGUCUGAAAAUUUGUUAAUAUGCAGUACAUGAGCAUGAGAGAGGACACACACACAGAGGACGCACAUAGCUAGUACUGAACCAACUGCUCCAGCUUCAUCCUGCCGCCAGCCAUACGAGCUGCAGUUGCUUCUAAAAGAUCCACUGCACUACACUUACGUACACACACCACAACGAGUUUGAAUGACAGUGAUGUGGGGCACCGGAUCACCCAGGUGAGGAUGGCAGGGCCUGCGUGGUUCCUGACUGUGCCUCCACCGGAGCGUCCCCCAACUCCAUGCACCGACCGGCGGCUUCUCCUCCUGCCGGAGCCAGCGGUGGCGGAGUGGGAGCCCCGCACGGUGCACCUUCGCACAACUCCUCUGCCGCCACUGCUACCGCUGAUACUGCUGCUGUCCCUGCACCUACAACCACCGGGCCGUGCUCUGCACCUUGCAGAGCUGGAGAGUCAUCCUGUGGGGGAAACCACGCACACGGUCCAGCCACCUCCCCCCUGGACACCUGAUGGAUCCUCCACCUACAACCCUCAUCAUCGGGAACUCCAUCGUGCGGAUGAGGGGGAGAUCACACCGUCGUUCCCCGGCGCCACCAUUACUGACAUAACAGAAAAAAUCCCAGGCAUCCUGAAGUCUCAUCCGCAGGCUGACAUACUCUUUUCAGCAUUGUAGCCAGGCUGACUGAGAGUCAAAGCUCUAUUGAGCCUUGUAUUCCCUUAGCCCUUAGCAGUAAUAAUUUUAUGAGCUUUUUUAAUGACAAAAUUCUAACUAUUAGAGGCAAAAUUCAUGACCUCCUGACCUCAGAUAGUACCUAUCUAACCUCAAACACAGCUGUAAAAUCUAAUAUAUAUUUAGAUUGCUUCUCCCCAAUUUCUCUUCAAGAAUUGACUGCAGUGAUUUCUUCAUCCAAAUCAUCAACGUGUCUCUUAGACCCCAUCCCAACUAGGCUACUUAAGGAGGUCUUUCCUUUAGUUAACACUCAUAUAUUAGAUAUGAUCAAUAUAUCCUUAUUAACAGGCUAUGUACCACAGUCUUUUAAGAUAGCUGUAAUUAAACCUCUACUAAAAAAGCCCACCCUGGAUCCAGAGGUGUUAGCCAAUUAUAGACCAAUAUCUAAUCUUCCCUUUAUGUCAAAGAUCCUUGAGAAAGUAGUCGCAGACCAGCUGUGUGAUUUUCUCCAGGAUAAUAAUUUAUUUGAGGAAUUUCAGUCAGGAUUUAGAGUGCAUCAUAGCACUGAGACAGCUCUAGUUAAAAUUACAAAUGACCUUCUGAUUGCUUCAGACAAAGGACUCGUCUCUGUACUUGUUUUAUUAGAUCUUAGUGUGGCGUUUGACACAAUUGACCAUCAAAUUCUACUGCAGAGACUGGAUCACUUAAUUGGCUUAAAAGGUUCAGCACUAAGCUGGUUUAAAUCUUAUUUAUCUGAUCGUUUUCAAUUUGUUGACAUUCGCAAUGAACCAUCCUUAUGUACUAAAGUUUGUUUUGGAGUUCCGCAAGGUUCUGUGCUCGGACCAAUCCUGUUUACUCUAUAUAUGCUUCCUUUAGGUAACAUCAUUAGAAAUCACUCUAUAAAUUUCCAUUGUUAUGCGGAUGAUACACAGUUGUAUUUAUCAAUGAAGCCAGAAGAAAGCAAUCAAUAAA
This is a long non-coding RNA of Epinephelus fuscoguttatus (brown-marbled grouper), 7339 nucleotides long. RefSeq lists it as uncharacterized. Lineage: Eukaryota; Metazoa; Chordata; Actinopteri; Perciformes; Serranidae. The record is from RefSeq and is a predicted model, not a curated record. The transcript has 3 exons.